Molecule: ribosomal RNA, 389 nt
Filed under: uncultured bacterium
Lineage: Bacteria
Description: bacterial SSU rRNA
Rfam family: Bacterial small subunit ribosomal RNA
Source: RNAcentral
GACGAACGCUGGCGGCGUGCUUAACACAUGCAAGUCGAGCGGUAAGGCCCUUUCGGGGGUACACGAGCGGCGAACGGGUGAGUAACACGUGGGUGACCUGCCCUCAGCUCUGGGAUAAGCCUGGGAAACCGGGUCUAAUACCGGAUAUGACUCCAUGACGCAUGUUGUGGGGUGGAAAGCCUUGUGCGGCUGAGGAUGGGCCCGCGGCCUAUCAGCUUGUGGUGGGGUGAUGGCCUACCAAGGCGACGACGGGUAGCCGGCCUGAGAGGGCGACCGGCCACACUGGGACUGAGACACGGCCCAGACUCCUACGGGAGGCAGCAGUGGGGAAUCUUGCGCAAUGGGCGAAAGCCUGACGCAGCGACGCCGCGUGAGGGAUGACGGCCUGG